RNAcentral lists this ribosomal RNA (2927 nucleotides) under human gut metagenome. Its description in RNAcentral is "bacterial LSU rRNA". It matches the Rfam family "Bacterial large subunit ribosomal RNA". The record is from RNAcentral.
UUAAAUUAGUAAGGGCGCAUGGUGGAUGCCUUGGCACUAGAAGCUGAAGAAGGACGUGACAAACAACGAUAUGCUUCGGGGAGUAGUAAGUAUACUUUGAUCCGGAGAUUUCCGAAUGGGGGAACCCACUAGUAAGAAACUACUAGUAUCAUAAAGCGAAUACAUAACUUUAUAGAGAGCAACCCGGUGAACUGAAACAUCUAAGUAACCGGAGGAGAAGAAAGAAAGCAAUCGAUUCCCUAAGUAGUGGCGAGCGAAAGGGGAACAGCCCAAACCAAUCUUCGGAUUGGGGUUAAAGGACUCCAUAAGUAGAGAAGAAAGUCUUAAUAUAGUUGAAGUCGUUGGGAAGCGAUACCGAAGAAGGUGAUAGUCCUGUAGGCGAAAUAUUAAGAACUCGAAGGAGAAUCCUGAGUACAAUGGGACACGAGAAAUCCUGUUGGAAGUAACGGGGACCAUCCCGUAAGGCUAAAUACUCUCUAGUGACCGAUAGUGAACAAGUACCGUGAGGGAAAGGUGAAAAGAACCCCGGGAGGGGAGUGAAAUAGAAUACUGAAACCAUGUGCUUACAAGAAGUCAAAGCACAUUAAAGUGUAAUGGCGUGCCUUUUGCAGAAUGAACCGGCGAGUUAAUGUUGCAUGCGAGGUUAAGUAGAAGAUACGGAGCCGAAGCGAAAGCGAGUCUUAAUAGGGCGAGUUAGUAUGUAGUAUUAGACCCGAAACCGAGUGAUCUAGCCAUGAGCAGAUUGAAGUUUGGGUAAAACCAAAUGGAGGAUCGUACCGACGUACCCGGAAACGUGCGCGGAUGACUUGUGGCUAGCGGUGAAAUUCCAAUCGAACUCGGAUAUAGCUGGUUCUCCCCGAAAUAGGUUUAGGCCUAGCCUCGAGGUAGAGAUAUGUGAAGGUAGAGCACUGAAUGUCCGAUGGCCCCGUCUAGGGGUACUGAAUGCAAUCAAACUCCGAAUGUCAUGUAUUAUACUCGGGAGUCAGCGUGCGGGUGAUAACGUCCGUACGCGAAAGGAAAAGAGUCCAAGAUCGCCAAUUAAGGUCCCAAAAUCUGUACUAAGUGGGAAAGGAUGUGGAGUUGUCAAAACAGCUAGGAGGUUGGCUCAGAAGCAGCCAUCCUUUAAAGAGUGCGUAAUAGCUCACUAGUCGAGUGACACUGCGCCGAAGAUGUACCGGGGCUAAGUACAGUACCGAAGUUGCGGAUUCAUGCAUAAGCAUGAGUGGUAGGGGAGCGUUCUAACAGCGGAGAAGGUUUACCGGAAGGAGAGCUGGAGCGGUUAGAAGUGAGAAUGCCGGUGUGAGUAGCGCAAGCUGGGUGAGAAUCCCGGCCACCGUUUGCCUAAGGGUUCCUGGGGAAGGUUCGUCCUCCCAGGGUUAGUCGGGUCCUAAGACGAGGCUGAAAAGCGUAGCCGAUGGACAACAGGUUUAUAUUCCUGUACUAUCUGUAUAACUGAAGGAAUGACGAAGAAGGCUAUGGAGAUCCAGUUAAUGGAUUCUGGUCUAAGCACAAAGGUUUAUAAAAAAGGAAAUCUGUUUAUAGAGCAACUGAAGUGUGAUGGGGAAGGAGUUAGAGAUAACUCCGAACUUUCCAGACGCCAAGCUUCCAAGAAAAGUUUCUAGGGCUAAUUAUACAGGUACCCGUACCGAGAACCGACACAGGUGGGCAAGGAGAGUAUCCUAAGGUGAGCGAGAGAACUAUGGUUAAGGAACUCGGCAAAAUGACCCCGUAACUUCGGGAUAAGGGGUGGUCAAGCGAUUGACCCGCAGUAAAGAGGCCCAGGCAACUGUUUACCAAAAACACAGGUUUCUGCAAAAGCGCAAGCUGAAGUAUAGGAGCUGACGCCUGCCCAGUGCUGGAAGGUUAAUAGGAGAGCUUAGAUGUGACGAAAGUCGAUAGCAUCGAAGGUUCGAAUUGAAGCCCCAGUGAACGGCGGCCGUAACUAUAACGGUCCUAAGGUAGCGAAAUUCCUUGUCAGGUAAGUUCUGACCCGCACGAAAGGCGUAAUGAUCUGGGUACUGUCUCAACCAUAGACUCGGUGAAAUCUUAUUACCUGUGAAAAUGCAGGUUACCCGCGACUGGACGAGAAGACCCCAUGGAGCUUUACUAUAGCUUGAUAUUGAGGUUUGGUAAGUUAUGUAGAGAAUAGGUGGGAGACUGAGAGAUAUCGGCGCCAGCUGAUAAGGAGUCAACAAUGGAAUACCACCCUUAACUUAUUGAACUUCUAACCUAGGUCCAUAAUCUGGAUCAGGGACAGUGUCUGGUGGGUAGUUUGACUGGGGCGGUCGCCUCCCAAAAAGUAACGGAGGCGCCCAAUGGUUCCCUCAGAAUGGUUGGAAAUCAUUCGAAGAGCGUAAAGGUAUAAGGGAGCUUAACUGCGAGACCAACAAGUCGAGCAGAUACGAAAGUAGGGCUUAGUGAUCAGACGAUGCAGAAUGGAAUGGUCGUCGCUUAACGGAUAAAAGUUACCCUGGGGAUAACAGGCUGAUGCCACCCAAUAGUUCACAUAGACGGUGGCGUUUGGCACCUCGAUGUCGGCUCGUCACAUCCUGGAGGUGAAGUCGCUUCCAAGGGUUGGGCUGUUCGCCCAUUAAAGUGGCACGCGAGCUGGGUUCAGAACGUCGUGAGACAGUUCGGUCCCUAUCCGUCGUGGGCGUAGGAAAAUUGAAGAGAUCUGUCCUUAGUACGAGAGGACCGGGACGGACCUACCUCUGGUGUAUCUGUUGUCACGCCAGUGGCAGCGCAGAGUAGCUAUGUAGGGAAUGGAUAACCGCUGAAAGCAUCUAAGCGGGAAGCCAACUUUAAGAUGAGUUUUCCCAUUAUUAAUUAAGUAAGAUCCCUCAAAGACGAUGAGGUUGAUAGGCUGGAGAUGGAAGCGUAGCGAUACGUUGAGUUGACCAGUACUAAUCGAUCGAGGAUUUAAUCAU